RNAcentral lists this ribosomal RNA (398 nucleotides) under uncultured bacterium. RNAcentral describes it as "bacterial SSU rRNA". It matches the Rfam family "Bacterial small subunit ribosomal RNA", at positions 29 to 433 of the family's 1533-position model. The record is from RNAcentral.
AUUGAACGCUGGCGGCAUGCCUUACACAUGCAAGUCGAGCGCGAAAGGGGGCAACCCGAGUAGAGCGGCGGACGGGUGAGUAACGCAUCGGAACGUGCCCAGUAGUGGGGGACAACCUCGAGAAAUCGAGGCUAAUACCGCAUACGACCCACGGGUGAAAGCGGGGACCGCAAGGCCUCGCGCUAUUGGAGCGGCCGAUGUCCGAUUAGCUAGUUGGCGGGGUAAGAGCCCACCAAGGCGACGAUCGGUAGCUGUCUGAGAGGACGACCAGCCACACUGGGACUGAGACACGGCCCAGACUCCUACGGGAGGCAGCAGGUGGGGUAAUUUUGGACAAUGGGGGCAACCCUGAUCCAGCCAUGCCGCGUGCGGGAAGAAGGCCUUCGGUUGUAACCGAC